AUUGAACGCUGGCGGCAGGCCUAACACAUGCAAGUCGAGCGGAUGACGGGAGCUUGCUCCUUGAUUCAGCGGCGGACGGGUGAGUAAUGCCUAGGAAUCUGCCUGGUAGUGGGGGACGACGUUUCGAAAGGAACGCUAAUACCGCAUACGUCCUACGGGAGAAAGCAGGGGACCUUCGGGCCUUGCGCUAUCAGAUGAGCCUAGGUCGGAUUAGCUUGUUGGUGAGGUAAUGGCUCACCAAGGCGACGAUCCGUAACUGGUCUGAGAGGAUGGUACGUCACACUGGAACUGAGACACGGUCCAGACUCCUACGGGAGGCAGCAGUGGGGAAUAUUGGACAAUGGGCGAAAGCCUGAUCCAGCCAUGCCGCGUGUGUGAAGAAGGUCUUCGGAUUGUAAAGCACUUUAAGUUGGGAGGAAGGGUUGUAGAUUAAUACUCUGCAAUUUUGACGUUACCGACAGAAUAAGCACCGGCUAACUCUGUGCCAGCCGCCGCAGUAA
This 500-nucleotide ribosomal RNA is filed under the name uncultured bacterium. RNAcentral describes it as "partial 16S ribosomal RNA". It matches the Rfam family "Bacterial small subunit ribosomal RNA", at positions 30 to 523 of the family's 1533-position model. The record is from RNAcentral.